AAUAAUAUUCAGGGCAUGGUGAAAUUCCAGACCGGUGGUAAAGUCCACGAGUGAAAACUGAAAUGGUGAAAUUCCAUUACCGAUAGUUAAAGUCUAGAUGAAAGAAUAUAAAU
Molecule: non-coding RNA, 113 nt
Filed under: Coprobacillus sp.
Lineage: Bacteria; Bacillati; Bacillota; Erysipelotrichia; Erysipelotrichales; Coprobacillaceae
Description: FMN sequence
Rfam family: FMN riboswitch aptamer (RFN element)
About the family: The RFN element is a highly conserved domain that is found frequently in the 5'-untranslated regions of prokaryotic mRNAs that encode for flavin mononucleotide (FMN) biosynthesis and transport proteins. This element is a metabolite-dependent riboswitch that directly binds FMN in the absence of proteins.
Source: RNAcentral